Molecule: ribosomal RNA, 488 nt
Filed under: uncultured bacterium
Lineage: Bacteria
Description: partial 16S ribosomal RNA
Rfam family: Bacterial small subunit ribosomal RNA
Source: RNAcentral
GACGAACGCUGGCGGCGUGCUUAACACAUGCAAGUCGAACGCGCCUGUCCUCUGGGUUUCUGGGGGGUGGGUGAGUGGCGAACGGGUGAGUAACACGUGAGUAACCUGCCCCCUUCUUCGGGAUAACGGUCUGAAAGGGCUGCUAAUACCGGGUAUUCACUGGUCUCCGCAUGGGGUCUGGUGGAAAGGUUUUUUUCUGGUGGGGGAUGGGCUCGCGGCCUAUCAGCUUGUUGGUGGGGUGAUGGCCCACCAAGGCUUUGACGGGUAGCCGGCCUGAGAGGGUGAACGGUCACAUUGGGACUGUGAUCCGGCCCAGACUCCUCCGGGAGGCAGCAGUGGGGAAUAUUGCACAAUGGGCGCAAGCCUGAUGCAGCGACGCCGCGUGAGGGAUGGAGGCCUUCGGGUUGUGAACCUCUUUCGCCCGUGGUCAAGCCGCGACGUGGGUCGUCGUGAGGGUAGUGGGUAAAGAAGCGCCGGCUAACUACGUG